RNAcentral lists this ribosomal RNA (253 nucleotides) under uncultured bacterium. RNAcentral describes it as "partial 16S ribosomal RNA". It matches the Rfam family "Bacterial small subunit ribosomal RNA", at positions 524 to 776 of the family's 1533-position model. The record is from RNAcentral.
UACGAAGGGGGCUAGCGUUGCUCGGAAUUACUGGGCGUAAAGGGCGCGUAGGCGGCACUGUUAGUCAGGCGUGAAAGUCCUGGGCUUAACCUGGGAACUGCGCUUGAUACGGCAGAGCUAGAGGAUGGAAGAGGCUCGCGGAAUUCCCAGUGUAGAGGUGAAAUUCGUAGAUAUUGGGAAGAACACCGGUGGCGAAGGCGGCGAGCUGGUCCAUUACUGACGCUGAGGCGCGACAGCGUGGGGAGCAAACAGG